This 245-nucleotide ribosomal RNA is filed under the name uncultured bacterium. Its description in RNAcentral is "partial 16S ribosomal RNA". It matches the Rfam family "Bacterial small subunit ribosomal RNA", at positions 532 to 776 of the family's 1533-position model. The record is from RNAcentral.
GUCCAAGCGUUGUUCGGAAUCAUUGGGCGUAAAGCGUGUGCAGGUGGUUUUGGAAGUUGGAUGUGAAAGCCCCGGGCUUAACCCGGGAAGUGCAUUCAAAACUGCAAAACUUGAGUAUGGAAGAGGGUCGUGGAAUUCCUGGUGUAGUGGUGAAAUACGUAGAUAUCAGGAGGAACACCGGUGGCGAAGGCGGCGACCUGGUCCUAUACUGACACUCAUACACGAAAGCGUGGGUAGCAAACAGG